AUAGAAAAAAAAAAAUCCUUAAUAUUUGGAUCAAGGACCAAACACAAUUUCCUUUUAAGUAGUUCAGUAAUAUGCAAACAUGCUGAGAAUAUAAAAACUGGAAAAGAGUUCUGACUAGUCUAAAUUUCAAACUAGUAAGGGAUGAUUUUGCAUGCUUUCUCCAUUGUCAUAACCUUCGUAAAGAUAGUCUCAACUGAUUGUAAUGCUGUAAAGACUUUCCAGAACAAUUAAAAAAAAAUAAAUGAAGGGGUAUCUGCCUAAAUAGGUAUUCACUGCAGAUGAAAUGGGUCUCUAUCGGAAGCAUGUGCUUAGCAGGACAGUCCCAAAGCUGAGGCUCUGCAGCAGGAUUCAAGGCUAUGAAAGAUCAUGUUGCCUUAUUCUUUUGUGCUAACACAGUAGGUGACUAUAUUAUGAAACCAAUGCUAGUGUGUCACUUGUUGAACCUAUAUGCCUUAAGGUAAAAACAAAUGUCUCUUCCAGUGUUUUGAUAUACAAACAAGAAAGCAUGGAUAACAGUUGCAUUGACAAUGGACUGACUGAAUAAUUGUUUCAUUCAUGAUGUUGAACAGCAUCUAGGAUCUUGGAUAACCCUCCAAGACAUCCACAACUACUUCAGUUCUACCCAAAUGUAUUUCUGCUUCUAAAUCCUACUACACUCAUAAUCAAUGGACCAAGGAAUAAUAGAAACAUUUAAGUGAUACUAUAUACAUUGAAUGCUUAACAGAAUAGUGAAAGCUAUUGAAAAUUGCCAGAAUCUGGUAGUCAGAUUGCGGAAACUAGUUCAAUAUUAUUGAUUGCACUUCCAUCAUUACACACUUACUUGAUAAAGUAAAGCAGUCAACUCUGAAUGCCUGUUGGUCUAAACUGUGGAAGGAGAGUGCAAAUGAAUUUGCCUAACAAACUUUCAGAGGUCAAGAAGACAGUGAAUGUUGCAAAAUGUCUGGGAAGUGAAGAUUUGGCAGAUGUAAAGGAUGAUGUAGAGCAACUGCUGCAGUCACAUGAGGAAUUAACUGAAAAGGAUUUGGAGGAACUAAUCAGAUUAGUGAGAAAGAGAAUGAAGAUGAAUACAAAGAUGAGAAGAGUAAAAUGACUCUGCCUAGCCUGAACAAAGGACUAGUAAUGAUGAAUAAUCUUCCAGAUUUUUUUCUUUGAAAUCAGUUUCAACAUGGACUGGAAGUUUAAAAUUAAAAUGGAGUUUGGAAAAUUUGUUAGUUCCAUAUAAACAGUUACAAG
This 1233-nucleotide long non-coding RNA is filed under the name Androctonus crassicauda. Lineage: Eukaryota; Metazoa; Arthropoda; Arachnida; Scorpiones; Buthidae. The record is from RNAcentral.